RNAcentral lists this ribosomal RNA (497 nucleotides) under uncultured bacterium. Its description in RNAcentral is "partial 16S ribosomal RNA". It matches the Rfam family "Bacterial small subunit ribosomal RNA", at positions 28 to 507 of the family's 1533-position model. The record is from RNAcentral.
GAUGAACGCUGGCGGCGUGCCUAAUACAUGCAAGUCGAGCGAACGGACGAGAAGCUUGCUUUUCUGAUGUUAGCGGCGGACGGGUGAGUAACACGUGGAUAACCUACCUAUAAGACUGGGAUAACUUCGGGAAACCGGAGCUAAUACCGGAUAAUAUUUUGAACCGCAUGGUUCAAAAGUGAAAGACGGUCUUGCUGUCACUUAUAGAUGGAUCCGCGCUGCAUUGGCUAGUUGGUAAGGUAACGGCUUACCAAGGCAACGAUGCAUAGCCGACCUGAGAGGGUGAUCGGCCACACUGGAACUGAGACACGGUCCAGACUCCUACGGGAGGCAGCAGUAGGGAAUCUUCCGCAAUGGGCGAAAGCCUGACGGAGCAACGCCGCGUGAGUGAUGAAGGUCUUCGGAUCGUAAAACUCUGUUAUUAGGGAAGAACAGAUGUGUAAGUAACUGUGCACAUCUUGACGGUACCUAAUCAGAAAGCCACGGCUAACUACGUG